RNAcentral lists this long non-coding RNA (536 nucleotides) under Anas platyrhynchos platyrhynchos (common mallard). RNAcentral's name for it is "lncRNA (ENSAPLG00000022571.1)". Lineage: Eukaryota; Metazoa; Chordata; Aves; Anseriformes; Anatidae. The record is from RNAcentral.
GAAAAUAUUUUCAUCUUCUCUGUCUCCAUAGACAGAGCACAUCAAAUCAAUAGCUGAGUCUUUCCAAAAUUCUACCAGUGGAAAAUGUAAACUAUUCUUAAUGGAGGGAGCUGAAACCAAAAAUAAGCAAGAUGAAGAAGAAUCAGAACUUCACAUUUUUACAUAAUAAUCCUUCAGACAGCAUGACGUAUAACUGAAUGACAAAUAAAGGGAGUUUCACAGCAACAGAAACUAAAAGCCAUCAGAAUCAUUGGAAAGGCUUUUAUGAUAUUCAGAAGACUGGAUCAGAUAACAAGCCAUCAACAGAGCUAAGGAUUACACACAUCAGACAGGAGAAAAAGAUCAUCCAUAAGACUCCCUAUAUCAGAGACUAUAUUCUGCCUUUCAUUAAGUGCUUGCUAUAUAAAUCAAUAUAUUAUGACAAUGGCAGUAUCAUUGUAACUCUGUGAUUUGUUGCUCAGUGGUGGCUGUAUCUUCCUGAACGGGCAUUUCUGAUUUGAGAAAUAAAUAUAUUACUGCAGCAGUGAAAGGAAACA